RNAcentral lists this ribosomal RNA (413 nucleotides) under Chloroflexota bacterium. RNAcentral describes it as "bacterial SSU rRNA". It matches the Rfam family "Bacterial small subunit ribosomal RNA", at positions 1 to 421 of the family's 1533-position model. Lineage: Bacteria; Bacillati; Chloroflexota. The record is from RNAcentral.
CUGAGAGUUUGAUCCUGGCUCAGGACGAACGCUGGCGGCGCGCUUAAUGCAUGCAAGUCGAACGGUGAACCCCGCAAGGGGGGAUCAGUGGCGAACGGCUGAGUAACGCGUAAGUAACCUACCCCUGGGCGGGGGAUACUCCACCGAAAGGUGGACUAAUACCGCAUGUGCUGCCCCAUCGCAAGAUGGGUCUGCAAAGGCUUCGGCCACCUGGGGAUGGGCUUGCGUCCUAUCAGGUAGUUGGUGGGGUAAUGGCUCACCAAGCCUCUGACGGGUAGCUGGUCUGAGAGGACGACCAGCCAGAGGGGGACUGCGACACGGCCCCCACUCCUACGGGAGGCAGCAGCAGGGAAUUUUGCGCAAUGGGCGAAAGCCUGACGCAGCGACGCCGCGUGGGGGAAGAAGGCCUUCGG